ACAAGGGGCUGUGCACAGAGAGAGAAUAUGUGAAUGAAGAGAGAGAGAGGGUGACCAGAACUUGACAGUGUUCCAGAAGAGGCCUCAUCAACAUCCUGUACAACCUAAUGUUUGUCUCUGUGUGUGUCCCAAGGACCAGACUAUAGAGCACAGAGUUCUGCAUCAUGGAGCUGCUCGGGAUGAACGCCAACAAAAAGCCUCCGAACUUCCUUUGCCUCUGGAAUGUUCCUUUACAAUGUGUUGUCUCAGCCUCCCUGCAGCCAAUUUGAGGGCAACCUAAGGUUGGUUUAGACUGUGAGCUGGCUGCUUUCGAUGUCAGUGCAUUCCACAGUGUUUAAAGGUGCCCGGUGCAGCAAGGAGAGAGUGUGCUACUGGGAAAGUUGUUGCAUUUCAGAGUAUGAUCAGAAGAGACGAAGGUUUGAAAACAUGUAUGAACAGAUUCAAGGGCAGCUUCUUCCCCACUGUCACACACUCAUAAAUUGAUCUCUCAUAUGUUAGAGUUGGCCUUUCUUUGCACCUUCUCUGUAGCUGUAACAAUAUAUUUUGCAUUCUAUUCUAUUGGCAUAACAUGUAUAUGUAGGUUAUGAU
This is a long non-coding RNA of Stegostoma tigrinum, 588 nucleotides long. RefSeq lists it as uncharacterized. The transcript has 4 exons. The record is from RefSeq and is a predicted model, not a curated record. NCBI's taxonomy places the organism in Eukaryota, Metazoa, Chordata, Chondrichthyes, Orectolobiformes, Stegostomatidae.